GAUGAACGCUGGCGGUGUGCCUAAUACAUGCAAGUCGAGCGAACGGACGAGAAGCUUGCUUCCUUGAUGUUAGCGGCGGACGGGUGAGUAACACGUGGAUCACCUACUUAUAAGACUGGGAUAACUUCGGGAAACCGGAGCUACUACUGGAUAAUAUUUUGAACGGCAUGGUUCAAAAGUGAAAGACGGUCUUGCUGUCACUUAUAGACGGUUCCGCGCUGCAUUAGCUAGUUGGUAAGGUAACGGCUUACCAAGGCAACGAUGCAUAGCUGACCUGAGAGGAUGAUCAGCCACACUGGAACUGAGACACGGUCCAGACUCCUACGGGAGGCAGCAGUGGGGAAUCUUCCGCAAUGGGCGAAAGCCUGACGGAGCAACACCGCGUGAGUGAUGAAGGUCUUCGGAUCGUAAAGCUCUUUUAUUGGGAAAGAACAGAUGUGUAUGUAACUGUGCACGUCUUGACGGUACCUAAUCAAAAAGCCACGGCUAACUACGUG
Molecule: ribosomal RNA, 497 nt
Filed under: uncultured bacterium
Lineage: Bacteria
Description: partial 16S ribosomal RNA
Rfam family: Bacterial small subunit ribosomal RNA
Source: RNAcentral